Long non-coding RNA from Terrapene triunguis (Three-toed box turtle), 380 nucleotides. RefSeq lists it as uncharacterized. Lineage: Eukaryota; Metazoa; Chordata; Testudines; Emydidae. The transcript has 4 exons. The record is from RefSeq and is a predicted model, not a curated record.
GUGUGAAGUAGAAAAUCGAUACCAGGGAAAUCCACUUAAAGGAACAUGUUAUUAUACUCUUCUUAUUGACUAUCAGUUCACCUUCAGCCUUUCCCAAGAGGAUGAUCGCUAUUAUACUGCAAUCAAUUUUGUAGCAACACCUGAAGAGCAAAAUAGAGACCUGGACAUGUUUAUCAACGCAUCUAAAAACUUCAACCUCAACAUAACUUGGUCAACAAGUUUUGCAGCUGGCACACAGGCAGGAGAGGAGAUUCCAGUUGUUUCAAAGUCCAACAUAAAGGAAUACAAGGACAGCUUCUCCAAUGAGAAAUUUGAUUUCCGGAGCAAUCCCAACAUCACUUUCUUUGUUUAUGUCAGCAACUUCACCUGGCCAAUAAAAA